UUGGAGGGCAAGUCUGGUGCCAGCAGCCGCGGUAAUUCCAGCUCCAAUAGCGUAUAUUAAAGUUGUUGCAGUUAAAAAGCUCGUAGUUGAAUUUCGGGAUCAGUUCGUCGGUCGUGCCUUUGGUAUGUACUGGUGUUACUGGUUCCUCCCUUCUGACGAACCGUCAUGUCAUUAAUUUGGUGUGGCGGGAAAUCAGGACUGUUACUUUGAAAAAAUUAGAGUGUUUAAAGCAGGCUCGCGCUUGAAUACAUUAGCAUGGAAUAAUGAAAUAGGACGUUUGAUUCUAUUUUGUUGGUUUCUAGGAUCGACGUAAUGAUUAAUAGGGAUAGUUGGGGGCAUUAGUAUUCAAUUGUCAGAGGUGAAAUUCUUGGAUUUAUUGAAGACUAACUACUGCGAAAGCAUUUGCCAAGGAUGUUUUCAUUAAUCAAGAACGAAAGUUAGGGGAUCGAAGACGAUCAGAUACCGUCGUAGUCUUAACCAUAAACUAUGCCGACUAGGGAUCGGAUGAUGUUAAUUUUUUAACGACUCAUUCGGCGCCUUACGGGAAACCAAAGUGUUUGGGUUC
RNAcentral lists this ribosomal RNA (565 nucleotides) under uncultured Glomeromycotina. RNAcentral describes it as "SSU rRNA". It matches the Rfam family "Eukaryotic small subunit ribosomal RNA", at positions 548 to 1114 of the family's 1831-position model. Lineage: Eukaryota; Fungi; Glomeromycota. The record is from RNAcentral.